RNAcentral lists this non-coding RNA (26 nucleotides) under Rattus norvegicus (Norway rat). Lineage: Eukaryota; Metazoa; Chordata; Mammalia; Rodentia; Muridae. The record is from RNAcentral.
UGCAGUUUAAAGUUGUCUUUUGCCUA